CCAAACACCUGGGCGAGUGGGGCAAAGGCCCAGGGCAGCAAGCUGGGAAGGGGCAUCAUUUUAGGCCUGGUACUUUUAGCAUGUAUAAAAUUUAGCCCAAACUUAAAUGUGGCCCAAAGCUCUAGAAUUCCUUAAUCAGUUCAACCACUUAGGGUGGGCGCUAGAAUUGAGAGACGGAUGCACGCCAGCCACUCUUGCACAAUAAACGAGAAUCACUUCGAUUCUUGAGCAUCGAUUGAUUUCACUACAGAUGCAUCACAUAUAGUGGUUUGGUGGAGUAGAGAAGAUGUUAAGAUUCAAGACGUCAAGACUCAAGACGAGACUCAUGGCUGCUUUUAAUAUCUAGGCUCCAGCAUUUAAGAUAAGAAAAAAAAAAUAGAAAAAUCAAUAUCCCAUCCUCUUUUUCCUUUGAUUUAUUUUUAUAUGUUAUCUAAUUUGAUUUCCUACGUGCAGUCUUGCUAAUUAAUUGAUUUCUGGAGACUUGAUUGUCGGAGAGAUUCUUUGGAGACUUGAGAAGCAGGGAUGGAAUUUUUUGUAAGAUUGUGGACCGGAGCAAUGAUGAAACCAAAGAAAACAAAAGAGAAUCACGAAAAAGGAAUAACAUUGAGUGUUGUUGAUGCUAUUUGGAAAUGAGAAAGGGCAUCUAGUUUUUCAAGGUCAAUUAAAAUGCAACAUGGCACAUGUGAUUAAUUUUAUGUUUUUAAACGAAGUAUAUUUGUGUUAAGGGACUCAAGGUUUAUUUAUUUAUUUUGAAUAGUAGUUUAAUGUUAACAGUCAAAAGAAUAUUACAUACUCACAUUCGAUUUUGAUAAGUGUUAUAAGCAAAAGUAGUUGUUUCGAGUUUGUUA
Non-coding RNA from Lactuca sativa (garden lettuce), 848 nucleotides. The record is from RefSeq and is a predicted model, not a curated record. NCBI's taxonomy places the organism in Eukaryota, Viridiplantae, Streptophyta, Magnoliopsida, Asterales, Asteraceae.